RNAcentral lists this long non-coding RNA (3589 nucleotides) under Oncorhynchus kisutch (coho salmon). RNAcentral's name for it is "lncRNA (ENSOKIG00005016471.1)". The record is from RNAcentral. Lineage: Eukaryota; Metazoa; Chordata; Actinopteri; Salmoniformes; Salmonidae.
AUGGAUGGGACGGAGGCAGCCACCUCAGAGAGCCCCCCUCAUGAUGCAACAGCCCAGCAGCAGGUGGACAGUGUGGAGGUGGUUGCCACUGAGGGUCCGGGGGAGACCGAGGGGAAGCCCCACUCCCCCCACGUCCAGAGUCCUCAGACUGGGGAUGCAGCCGAACCCUCCGCCGCUGGCCCUGCUACUACCCGAGGAGCCAAAAGCAGGUCAGUCAGAGAGGCCUACGUCAAGUCUUCAUAUGUUUGUAUGUGGUCUGUCUGUAUAUUUGUCUGUAUAGGUCCGUCUGUCAGUGUACAUGCGUACACCAUAUGGGCUUCUCUGCUAUUCUCAUUUAAUGCACAAACACACACAUGCACAGUCCACCCCCCCCCCCCCCCCCCCCCAGGUGUCACUCUGUUAAAGGUUGUAAUCAAUCUCCCAGACUGACUGCACUGUCGAUGUUGCUGAUGGAGGGGCAGACAGGCAGAAUCUCUCCAGGGAUCGUAUUAAUCUUAUUAACAAGCCUAUCUCCUCUAGAAACCAACCUGAUAAAUGUUGGCUGCCUGCGCUGGUCUGCUCUGCCUGGCUCGCUUUACUUUCCCUCACACACUGACUCCCAACCUCUCGGCCCAUCUCUCUAUGAUGGCUCAAGAUACUCUGUUUUGGAUCCUCAAAUACAUGGAUGUGGCUUGAUCAGUUGAUUGAGUAUAGGUUGGUCAAAGGUCUAUGUGUAACUUUCAAUUCCGACAGAUUUUUGUUGUAAGAAUAUAUUGCCGUGUGUGUACAAUCGUGGCCAAAAGUUGAGAAUGACACAUACAUUUUCAGUCUGCUGCCUCAGUUUGUAUGAGGGCAAUUUGCAUACACUCCAGAAUGCUAUGAAGAGUGAUCAGAUGAAUUGCAAUUAAUUGCAAUGUCCCACUUUGCCAUGCAAAUAUACUGAAUCCCCCCCCCCAAAACAUUUCCACUGCAUUUCCGCCCUGCCACAAAAGGACCAGCUGACAUCAUGUCAGUGAUUCUCUCUUUAACACAGGUGUGAGUGUUGACGAGGACAAGGCUGGACAUCUCUCUGUCAUGCUGAUUGAGUUCGAAUAACAGACUGGAAGCUUCAAAAGGAGGGUGGUGCUUGGAAUCAUUGUUCUUCCUCUGUCAACCAUGGUUACCUGCAAGGAAACAUGUGCCGUCAUCAUUGCUUUGCACAAAAAGGGCUUCACAGGCAAGGAUAUUGCUGCCAGUAAGAUUGCACCUCAAUCAACCAUUUAUCGGAUCAUCAAGAACUUAAAGAAGAGUGGUUUCAAUUGUUGUGAAGAAGGCUUCAGGGCGCCCAAGAAAGUCCAGCAAGCGCCAGGACCGUCUCCUACAGUUGAUUCAGCUGUGGGAUCGGGGCACCACCAGUACAGAGCUUGCUCAGGAAUGGCAGCAGGCAUGUGUGAGUGCAUCUGCACACACAGUGAGACAAAUACUUUUGGAGGAUGGCCUGGUGUCAAGAAGGGCAGCAAAGAAGCCACUUCUCUCCAGGAAAAACAUCAGGGAAAGACUGAUAUUCUGCAAAAUAUACAGGGAUUGGACUGCUGAGGAUUGAGGUGAAGUCAUUUUCUCUGAAUCCCCUUUCCGAUUGUUUGGGGCAUCCGGAAAAAAGCUUGUCUGGAGAAGACAAGGUGAGCACUACCAUCAGUCCUGUGUCAUGCCAACCAAAUCAAAAAUCAAAUCAAAUGUAUUUGUCACAUACACAUGGUUAGCUGAUGUUAAUGCGAGUGUAGCGAAAUGCUUGUGCUUCUAGUUCCGACAAUGCAGUAAUAACCAACGAGUAAUCUGACCUAACAAUUCAACUACUACCUUAUACACACAAGUGUAAAGGAUAAAGAAUAUGUACAUAAAGAUAAAAAAAGUAUUUAGUCAGCCACCAAUUGUGCAAGUUCUUUCACUUAAAAAGAUGAGAGGCCUGUAAUUUUCAUCAUAGGUACACUUCAACUAUGAGGGAAAAAAUCCAGAAAAUCACAUUGUAGGAUUUUUUAAAUGAAUUUAUUUGCAAAUUAUGGUGGAAAAUAAGUAUUUGGUCACCUACAAACAAGCAAGAUUUCUGACUCUCACAGACCUGUAACUUCUUCUUUAAGAGGCUCCUCUGUCCUCCACUCGUUACCUGUAUUAAUGGCACCUGUUUGAACUUGUUAUCAGUAUAAAAGACACCUGUCCACAAUCUCAAACAGUCACACUCCAAACUCCACUAUGGCCAAGACCAAAGAGCUGUCAAAGGACACCAGAAACAAAAUUGUAGACCUGCACCAGGCUGGGGAGACUUAAUCUGCAAUAGGUAAGCAGCUUGGUUUGAAGAAAUCAACUGUGGGAGCAAUUAUUAGGAAAUGGCCACUGAUAAUCUUCCUCGAUCUGGGGCUCCACGUGGGGUCAAAAUGAUCACAAGAACGGUGAGCAAAAAUCCCAGAACCACACGGGGGGACCUAGUGAAUGACUUGCAGAGAGCUGGGAUCAAAGUAACAAAGCCUACCAUCAGUAACACACUACGCCGCCAGGGACUCAAAUCCUGCAGUGCCAGACGUGUCCCCCUGCUUAAGCCAGUACAUGUCCAGGCCUGUCUGAUGUUUGCUAGAGAGCAUUUGAAUGAUCCAGAAGAAGAUUGGGAGAAUGUCAUAUGGUCCGAUGAAACCAAAAUAUAACUUUUUGGUAAAAACUCAACUUGUUGUGUUUGGAGGACAAAGAAUGCUGAGUUGCAUCCAAAGAACACCAUACCUACUGUGAAGCAUGGGGGUGGAAACAUCAUGCUUUGGGGCUGUUUUUCUGCAAAGGGACCAGGACGACUGAUCCGUGUAAAGGAAAGAAUGAAUGGGGCCAUGUAUCGUGAGAUUUUGAGUGAAAACCUCCUUCCAUCAGCAAGGGCAUUGAAGAUGAAACGUGGCUGGGUCUUUCAGCAUGACAAUGAUCCCAAACACACCGCCCGGGCAACGAAGGAGUGGCUUCGUAAGAAGCAUUUCAAGGUCCUGGAGUGGCCUAGCCAGUCUCCAGAUCUCAACCCCAUAGACAAUCUUUGGAGGGAGUUGAAAGUCCGUGUUGCCCAGCAACAGCCCUAAAACAUCACUGCGCUAGAGGAGAUCUGCAUGGAUGAAUGGGCCAAAAUACCAGCAACAGUGUGUGAAAACCUUGAAAAAAACUUACAGAAAACGUUUGACCUCUGUCAUUGCCAACAAAGGGUAUAUAACAAAGUAUUGAGAAACUUUUGUUAUUGACCAAAUACUUAUUUUCCACCAUAAUUUGCAAAUAAAUUCAUAAAAAAAUCCUACAAUAUGAUUUUCUGGAUUUUUUUUCUUCUAAUUUUGUCUGUCAUAGUUGAAGUGUACCUAUGAUGAAAAUGACAGGCCUGAUCUUUUUAAGUGGGAGAACUUGCACAAUUGGUGGCUGACUAAAUACUUUUUUGCCCCACUGUAUAUGAAUGAGUGAUGGUACAGAACGGCAUAGGCAAGAUGCAGUAGAUGGUAUAGAGUACAGUAUAUACAUGAUGAGUAAUGUAGGGUAUAUAAACAGUGCUGUAGUUUAAAGUGCCUCGUGAUUCAUGUAUUACAUAAAGAUGGCAAGAUGCAGUAGAUAGAGUACAGUAUAU